Molecule: long non-coding RNA, 425 nt
Filed under: Capsicum annuum
Lineage: Eukaryota; Viridiplantae; Streptophyta; Magnoliopsida; Solanales; Solanaceae
Description: long non-coding RNA (CANN_LNC016904)
Source: RNAcentral
UGAAGAUAUCUCUCAACUUUUGCCACAUUUCAUCAUUUUGCUUAGAUAAAAAAUCAGGCUUAGAAGGGUUUUGGUAUGUUUGUGGAGUUAGAGGACGACUCUGAAGAGUUAGGGUGUUCCACUGUGGUUAAUAUGGGGGUUGAACAUGUGGCUGUGCAUGAUAUGCUGGAUACAGAGGUGGAGGAGCAGAGUAUAAUGGAUUUUGGGAGUGAUUAUGUGGAGCUUGGGCAUGAACUUGGGUUUGAGCCUGAGAGUGACGAAAAUGGGAUCUUCUUGACCGUUUCCGCUGUCCAACUAUAAUAGAACAUGCAAAUUCCUCAUUUUUUGUCUCCCCAACACUUCUUGAACCCUUUUGAAUUGCUUGAGUUAUCACUUUCAAUGUUGCAAAACUCAUAAUGCGACCAGUCUUAAUUCCCUCUUCUAUC